CGCCCCCUCUGCCCUCGCUGCCUCCGCUUCCAGCCGGGCAUGCUGCAUACCUAAAAGCAGGAGCUGAUUCUUGCCCCCUUGGCCUUGAUUGCACUUGUUGCAAACAUUGGAAACUUCUUUGCAUUUAAAUAACGGACUUACUCAGGCUUUGACACCCCACUGGGAUUCUGCUUCAUCAGCACAGCCCUGCUCUAAACUGCUUCUUACGGCUAUGCAUAAUUUAGCUUUUAAUGAGAAAUAUCCCAUAGAUCUAUGCUUCGAAGCAGCCCCUCUGCGUCGCAGUCCCAUCCAGACGGCGCACCUAUUCUGCGCAGCUCCAACUAGCUGAGCCUUCUUAACACAGUAAUUAGCCUCGCUGCCUCGCAUGAUAAAGAUGAAGCAAGAGAAUCAGAAAAAAGGGAUGCUGCUAGAAGCUGUGCCUUCUAAGCAAGCCUCUGUGGUCACUUCAAAAUCCAGCAAUGCUUUCUAAGCACUGUAUAUGGCUUACUGAUGUUUCUAUACUGUUGCUAAUACAGAGGAGCUUGCAAAAAACGGCAUCGUAGCUUUUAUAGAAGAUAGGGCCAUUACUAGAGUUUUUCAGGCAUCAAAGCAAAUCAUUUUUACUUUCUGCUCUCCCAUGUCACUUUAUUGUUACUUCCCAGAGGGACUUAACGCAGAAUAUGUGAAAGGAGAAAACAUGGAAGCGGUUGUGAGCGAAGAACCUCAAGUUAAAUAUUCAGUGCAGGAAACACAGCCAGCAGAACCACCCAAACAAGACAGCACGAAGCUCUAAAGCACGACCUGGGGCUGGAAGAGAACCAGUCAGCAGCAGACAUGGAGAUCUUACAUGCUUGUAAUUUAGCUUUUUAUUUAAUUUGAAUCCAAAGCUAUUUAAUGUGUACUUAGGCUUGAACUGGCUUCUUACUGCUAUAGGCUUUAGGGUUAGAAUGGUAAUAUGUGUUUUUUUGUAAAGACUUCUAUGUUUACAUUUACGUAAUAUUAUAGGCUUGAUUUCAAGUUGUAUGCAAAACAACCGAAGGUGCUUCAGUAGCGUUCAACUAUCAGUUAAGGGACAAGGUCUUUUCCAAGGAGCAGAAGAGCUUACAGGUGUGAGGACAGUGAAGUGCCUGUAAAUAGCAAUCCAAAGCAAACCACGCAAAACCCUUUGUAAAUCACUUCCAGCUGACUUUAACCACCUGCUACAGGCACAUAACUUCCAAUGGCAGUGAUGAAAACUGCACAUUUACUGAGGGUAGAUUGAGGUCCUUAGAGUAGCUACACCUGAAAAUAAAGUGCCUAUGGGUAGGUCCUCAGGUAGGGCCUCAUGCUGAGACAGGUGACACCCUGCUCUUUAGUCGGGGAGUCGAGGAUGCUCACAACCACACAGCACUAGGCUUCUAACCAAAUAAAAAGGCCUGACUUUCAUCCCAAAUCAUGAACACAGGUAGUAGCAGUGUACAAAGUGUUCAUUCUUGAAAAAUAUUUGAAUGCAUGGCUGUGCUAGAGGUCAGAAGGGAGUCAAAGUUACCAAGUGAUACAGCUUGUCUGUCAUCAGUGAGAUUUAUAUAUUGUCAAUGAAAUGAAAUUAAAACUGUUCCAAGGACAGAUUCAGAUCUCAUUCACACCAGAACAAAUUACAGAUUUAACCCAAAAGAAAAUAAAGAACAUCAGUUGAGACCUUUAACACUCACUGCCACAACAGAAGUCAAGCUUAGCAAGAUACAUUAUUCCCCCCACCUCCUUCUCCAAGCAUUCACACAAUUAUUGAGAACGUUCAUUGUCACCUUAGGCAGAAAAGGGAUAUAAAGCUUUGUCCUUUGGGACACCAAUGAACCUUUAGAAAAGGCAGAACUUCCUUAGAGGAUGAAUUUUCCAUCUCUGUCUUCUGCGGGGUUCUUCCAGCAGCCUGGGAAGCAUGUGUCUGUGAGCGUUGUCAGCAGGACACUGCCCUGUCGCCAGGAGAGCCCCCCGCUCCCGUGGGGGUGUUCCUAUGCUCUUUUUGAACAUAACGGUACCAAUAGAAUGACCUGACCCUUGCUGAAAAAAUUGUGUUUAUACUUUUAAUCUCUCCCCAUCUCUUUUUUAUUGAUGCUAGAAGGUGGACACUGCCACUUACCAAUACAUUUCCCCAAAUCAGCAAAUCCUUAAAAAAAUGCUUUAUAAAGGGAAAUUCACUUACCUAGUGUAAAAGGUACUCUAUGUUUAUAUAUAAACCUGAAAUGUGUGCAUUUUGUAAUGUUUUGCAAAAACCCAUAUUGUGUGAAUGUGGAUAAAAAAAAGUGUUUUCUGUUUGAUGUACAAAUUCACAGCUUUCAUGUAGACAUGGCUUACACAAGGCCUUGCCAAUAGGUGAAUAAGCCUAGGAGCAUUUCUGACUAACAGCUCAAUUUGAAAGGAAACUGUCUGUAAGUAUUUUGCAAUAGCUGCACAAUUCUUUAUGUUGUUUUUCACACUUGCAUUUUUAAAGCCUUACUACUAGCUCUAACAGAACAACUACAGCAUUUUAUAAGGGUGACAAGUUCUAAGGCUGUAUGGCGCCUCUCAUACAUUUGGAGCACUUGGUCUACAACAAUACUGCUAUUAAUUACUGCUACUUUGUUUUAUGAAUGGAUUUGGAUUAGAAAACUAAACAUUUAACUACUGGUUACUCUGAGACUGGAAGCAGGAGAAAUAGACAGGGAUACAGAAUAGAUGUUUGCUUACUCCUAGGGUAGGAUUUUUAUGGAGGAAGAGAUGGGGCUUGUAGAACUCUGAUCAUCGUCUACAAGAGCUCAGAUGCCAAUGAAGCCAGGCAGCCAGGUCUGGGUAACUACAUCUCCAAACUCUGUAGCCUGUUCAUCUCUCUUAGCCAAACAUGUUUGAGAGCUGUGGCAUGGAAGCAUUUUUAGAAAAUAAUUGUAGACAAAAUGUUACAACAUGGCACUGAUAGCAGUCAUAUUCCCCGGGUAGAUCGAGUGAACAUAAAUCCAUUUAUCUUUUUGCUGGUGAGAGAAUGUUUUUUUGUAGAUGAAGAUCAUCAGUGCUGUUGCAUUUCUGUUACUGCACAGUGCACUCCCUGUUUGUCUAGUGGACAAUGCAGUGGAGUGUUCAGGAUUGCUCAAGUCUACAGCACUUACCCCUCCUUAGGGAAAGUGUUACACUAUACAUAUGAGAAACAUGCAUGUAAUUCACAAUACUGCUGUUUUUCGAAAAAGAGAGAAAGAGGAAAAAAGUUUCACUGAGAAACACAGCAGUUUUUAGAACUCAGAAGUAGCCUGCAUUGAAGUUGCUCCUUUCCCCAAGGCCUUUUCUAUGGCUUUGGUGAAUAUUUAUGCCUUAAUGUAAUUUCUAGGUGUAGCGUAAGAAAAAACGGAAACGCCUAGUGAAAGGGAGCACUUUUUCAAAGUUUACAGUAACAGAAUUCAAGAUCCCUUUCUCCAAGAUUCCUAACAGGAAAAUUUUGACAAAUACUGCAGUAAAGAAAUUAAACGCAGUCUUCUCUUCAAAACACCUGGGCAAAAACCUUGGGCUUCAUGUGCUAAAUGUCAGUUAAGGCUCAAUUGCUUUUUUAUUGCAGUUCGUCUCCUCUGUCUGAACCGUCUGCUCAGUCCCUGAAAAAUGGGGAGUUUAUACUUCACACCACCUGUAUUUCAGCCAUUAUAGCAACUUGGAGGGUUUAUUUGUAUUUUCCUAGUGGCGAAACAAGUUCUGAAACAACCGAUACAGCAUUCACCUCUCUAAUUACCUUCAUUUAAUUAUUAUUAUCUUUAAAUUAGGAUACAGAAUUUUAAAAAAUCUUGCACUUAUAUCCUGUAUACAUGGUGUGAACUUUCUCAUCCCUUAUAAAGAAGGCAAUAAAACACUGGAAAACUAGGGUUUUUUUCAUUAGUCCUAAAGUGCAGAUACAGCUGUCCUGAGAGUUUAUGUACCACCUGUUCUGUGGCUCUUACUCAUAACACACCUCACUUCUUCAGAUUAACUAAAGCUAUUUUUAAUGAAAAAAAUUCAGAAACAAGUUUUCUCUAUCAUAUAGAAAACAGAGAAUUGAUAAGCACUUAACCAGCUGUUUUCCUGUUAUUAGAUGAAUUACCCACAUUUUCCUUUAGCAAUACUGUAGUAGUUUCUUCAUUUUAGAAGACUGUGACAUUAGAGUCUUCAUUUCAGAAUAUUGUGACAUUAAUUUCAGAUUUUUUUGGAGCCCUACAAGUUCAGUCAUUUUCAUGCAACCCCAUUAAGGAACCCUUACAAUUGCUAUAUUGUCAGUGCGAACUACUCAUUUUUGUCAUAAAGAUGGAGUUAGUCCGUGAGACCGUUUCAAAGUCUGAAAAAUUAAAAUGAGUAGACAGGCUUGGCCCUUAAAAUUUGCUUCUAUAAGAAAUGAGCUUCAGGAACAAACGAUGUUCAAAACCAAAUGAAGCUCAGAAACAAUGGUACUGCGAAGUUAAGAGAAUCACGUCUUUACAGUGAAGUCUUAAUUUAAAAGCAAGACAUAUUGUUUACUAAUGCAGAAGUGACCUAUGCCAAAUAAAGGUUUCAUAUUAUGCUGUGAAAAGAUAGAUUCGUUUUGCUAAUGUGCAUGUAAGCAUCAUGGGGGUAAAAAUCAGAAUUUGACUACAACGAAUAAAACAGACUUGACUAGUAAGACA
Molecule: non-coding RNA, 4604 nt
Organism: Struthio camelus australis
Lineage: Eukaryota; Metazoa; Chordata; Aves; Struthioniformes; Struthionidae
Source: RefSeq, a predicted model, not a curated record